AUGAAAAGUGGGAUGCCAAAACGGGCCACAGCACCGAAGGCAGAUAGAUCAGUACUUGUAGUCCUUGACGUGGAGGCUCUCGGAGGCGCCCUCGCCGAGGGUGGCGUCGCCCUUGUAGGUGCCGAGGGUGGCCUCGGAGUUGGCCUUGCACCUCACCAGGAACGCCGCCCUGGCCUUCUCCUCGUUCUCCGUCUUGCCGGACCAGGCCUUGAGGGUGCUCUGCUGGAGGGCACGCCCGAAGGAGAAGGACAGGUUCCAGGGCUUCUUGGUCUGGAGCUUGUUCAUGGCGUUCAGGUUCAGGGUCGCCUCCUCCUCGCUCUGUCCACCAGAGAGGAAGACAAUGGCGGGGACGGCAGCAGGGACGGUCCUCUGGAGGGUGCGGACGGUGUACUCAGCAAUCACCUCAGGGGCCACCUUCUUGGAGUCAGAACCAGGGGUGACCAUGUUGGGCUUCAGGAGAGUGCCCUCGAGGAGGACAUGCUGGUCGUUGAGGGCCUUGUAGCAGGCAGCAAGGACGAUCUCGGUGACGUAAGCACAGCGGUCAAUGUCAUGAGGUCCAUCAACAAGGAUCUCAGGCUCCACAAUGGGCACCAGACCAUUCUCCUGGCAGAUGAUGGCAUAGCGAGCCAGACCCUGAGCGUUCUGGUCGAUGGAGAGCUGCGAUGGCUCAGUGGCGCCGAUCUUGAGGACUGCACGCCACUUGGCGAAGCGGGCACCAGCCUCAUAGUACUUGGCGCAGCGCUUGCCAAGGUCAUCAAAGCCCUGGGUGGUGGUCUCACCGUUGGUUCCAGCAAGCUCAAUGGUACCCUUGUCCACCUUGAUGCCAGGGAGGACAUUGCCCGCCUUGAGGAUGUCGACGAAGGGCUUGCCACCCUUGGUGCUCUGGUACAGGGUCUCCUCAAACAGGAUCACGCCGCUGAGGUACUGGAGGGCACCAGGGGUGCAGAAGAGGAGCUCACGGAGGGCACGACGGUUGUCCUCAACGUUCUCAACAUUGAUGCUGGCAAAGCGCUUGCCGAUGGUGCCGGUGGACUCAUCAGCAGCGAGGAUACCCUUGCCAGGGGUGCCGAUGUAGGCAGCGUUCUUGAUGAGCUCAUCUGCAAGAUAAUCAACCAAGAGUAUUACAAUCAAUUGCCAUAA
This 1140-nucleotide ribosomal RNA is filed under the name Triticum aestivum (bread wheat). RNAcentral's name for it is "partial small subunit ribosomal RNA". Lineage: Eukaryota; Viridiplantae; Streptophyta; Magnoliopsida; Poales; Poaceae. The record is from RNAcentral.